AACGAACGCUGGCGGCGGGGUUUAGGCAUGCAAGUCGAGCGAGAAAGGGGAAACCCGAGUAAAGCGGCGUAAGGGUGAGUAAUAGGUAGUUCACGUAUCCUUCAGACGCGGAUAAUUUUCCGAAAGGGAUUGUAAUACGCGAUGAGACCACGAUCGAUCCGUCGAUUGUGAUCAAAAGGUUCGGGAUCCUUCGGGACCGAGCGCUGUUGGAGCGGACGACCUCCGAUUAGCUAGACGGCGGGGUAACGGCCCACCGUGGCGAUGAUCGGUAGCCGGCCUGAGAGGGUGUCCGGCCACACUGGGACUGAGACACUGCCCAGACUCCUACGGGAGGCUGCAGUCGCGAAUCAUUCACAAUGGGCGCAAGCCUGAUGAUGCCACGCCGCGUGCGGGAUGAAGGCCC
RNAcentral lists this ribosomal RNA (403 nucleotides) under uncultured bacterium. RNAcentral's name for it is "bacterial SSU rRNA". It matches the Rfam family "Bacterial small subunit ribosomal RNA", at positions 29 to 417 of the family's 1533-position model. The record is from RNAcentral.